Molecule: ribosomal RNA, 301 nt
Filed under: uncultured bacterium
Lineage: Bacteria
Description: partial 16S ribosomal RNA
Rfam family: Bacterial small subunit ribosomal RNA
Source: RNAcentral
CAGCAGCCGCGGUAAUACGUAGGGGGCGAGCGUUGUCCGAAGUUACUGGGCGUAAAGCGCGCGUAGGCGGCUUCUUAAGUCUGAGGUGAAAGGUUCAACGCUUAACGUGAACAGUGCCUUGGAUACUGGGGAGCUUGAGUAUGGGAGAGGGCAGUGGAAUGGCUGGUGUAGCGGUGAAAUGCGUAGAUAUCAGUCGGAACACCCAUGGCGAAGGCAGCUGCCUGGCCUAAUACUGACGCUGAGGUGCGAAAGCGUGGGGAGCGAACGGGAUUAGAUACCCGCGUAGUCCCUGUCUCUUAUU